AUGCCAUUUGGCCUAUGCAAUGCACCGACAACAUUUCAGUGCUUGAUGAACACGGUGUUUGGGCGCUAUGUGCGUAAGUUCAUCAUCAUAUUUUUGGAUGACAUCUUGGUAUUUAGCACUGACCUGCAGGAACAUGAAGAACACCUCCACCUCACUUUGCAACUUCUCCGUGAACAUCAACUAUUCGCCAAGGACAACAAGUGUUCGUUUGCACAAACAAGCAUUGAAUACCUCGGGCAUGUGAUCUCACAAAAGGGAAUUGUGACGGAUAACAGCAAGACCAGCGCCAUGCAGUCCUGGCCUGUGCCCACGAUGCCCACCGAGCUGUGCGGCUUCUUGGGGUUGAUGGGCUACUACCGCAAAUUCUCCCCCCACUACGGCAUCAUCGCCAAACCACUGACGCAACUCUUGAUGAAGAAAGGGUUUCACUGA
This 432-nucleotide ribosomal RNA is filed under the name Triticum aestivum (bread wheat). RNAcentral's name for it is "partial small subunit ribosomal RNA". The record is from RNAcentral. Lineage: Eukaryota; Viridiplantae; Streptophyta; Magnoliopsida; Poales; Poaceae.